CACAGAAUACAGAAAACAAGCCAUGAUUAAUAUGCCUGAAGGGUAAGUAGCACUAGAUCUCAGACCUUGUGCCUCAUGAUAAUACUGGACUACCUUGUUCUGGGAACACAGAGGCAGCUGGGAGUUAUGCUGGAUGGCACAGAGGCUGUGGAUGAAGAGGCUCCCAGCACUUGGGGUGCCCAAGCAUCGAGGAGCCGGGCCUGAAAAGCAGCAACAACUGGCAGGCAGAACAAGCCAGGGCUACAGGAGCCUUGGGUGAGAAGACGUGGCGCAGAGCCUGGGAGAUGCCAGGGAUGGUGGUCUCACGGUGCUCUCAGGGACACCUUUCAGUAGGCAAGGCGAAGCUUUGACGUGAGUCCUCAGCCAGGCGCUGCCUCAGACCCCAGGUCCCGGCAGCCUCGUUGUGCCUGUGGCCUCUCCGUCCUGCAAGUUCAGCUGCUUUCUAGUGCAAGAUGGUCUGGAAGAGCAAAGCCCACUGGGGAGGACCACAGCUCCACGUCUAAGGUGGAACUUGGAUUACAUAAAGGACCUGGAUUUGUUUGUCUGCGGCUCCCAACAGGAUGCCCUGUUGAAAUCUUAAUUGUACGAUGCUCAUGCUUUUGAGGAGUUGGUUAAGAACAAACAGUGCAUCGGAUGAAAUAAUUUCCAGAGGUCCUUUCCUUGUGACCAGGGCUUGAACCCACAGCCCAACGUGCUGCCCUUCUGCAAAUAAUACUCCAGUUUUCAACAGAGCUUGUUGAUAUUUUAGCCUGAAUGACUGAGAACUGGCUGUUUCCAGUGAUGGGGUUGAGAAACCAAGAAUGAAAAGAAGAGCUGCCACCUCUUCCUCUGCCUCCAUCUGCCUGAUAGAGAAGGUGAGCACAGCAGGUGGGGAUUUCCUCAGCAUCCGCUCUUGCACAAUUUAACACUUAUAUGGUAAUACCAUGUGAAGUUUGGGGACAUAAAAACAAGUGACAUGAGGUCUCUGUCCCCUAGUGGGGUGACAGACAUGUGAGCUGAUGGAUGGCAGCCCCUGUGGUGCAGUGUGGUGAGUGUUGU
Manis javanica (Malayan pangolin) is the source of this 1038-nucleotide non-coding RNA. The record is from RefSeq and is a predicted model, not a curated record. Lineage: Eukaryota; Metazoa; Chordata; Mammalia; Pholidota; Manidae.